RNAcentral lists this ribosomal RNA (300 nucleotides) under uncultured Halarchaeum sp. Its description in RNAcentral is "bacterial SSU rRNA". It matches the Rfam family "Bacterial small subunit ribosomal RNA", at positions 496 to 795 of the family's 1533-position model. The record is from RNAcentral. Lineage: Archaea; Methanobacteriati; Methanobacteriota; Halobacteria; Halobacteriales; Halobacteriaceae.
CGUAGCACGGGGCCUGGUGCGGCGGUGAUGCUGAGGUCCCGGGCGUUGUUCGGUGUCACUGGGCUGAAAGGGUGCGCAGGUGGGAUGGCAAGUGUGAGGGGAAAUCUCCGGGCUCAACCCGGAAAAGGCAUUGAAUACUGUCGUGCUGGAGGUUUGGAGGGGGGACUGGAAUUCUCGGUGUAGCAGUGAAAUGCGUAGAUAUCGAGAGGAACACCAGUGGCGAAGGCGAGUCCCUGGACAACACCUGACACUGAGGCACGAAAGCUAGGGGAGCAAACAGGAUUAGAUACCCGGGUAGUC